RNAcentral lists this unclassified non-coding RNA (535 nucleotides) under Hevea brasiliensis (rubber tree). Lineage: Eukaryota; Viridiplantae; Streptophyta; Magnoliopsida; Malpighiales; Euphorbiaceae. The record is from RNAcentral.
GAGGAGUUUGAUGCCGGAAUCCCAAAAACCUGCUAGUGUGUGAUCGGAGAAAGCUUAUCUAUGGAGCGCGUAAGGCUUCGAUUGACGUUCGAGGACCCGAACAUUCUCAGUGAUUUACAGAAAUCAGAGGGUCUGAGGUGCAGUUGGUUUCUUCUCAAACCCCAAUUGCUACACAAAACUAUCUCCGAUCUGUCUUCUCAUAUUCUCCGCACUUUUCAACUCCAUGGCUCUUGUCCGCAUGGCCUUCUCCUCUCUAUGGACGGUUUUCUCUUGCCUCCUUUCGAAUCAACUUGUAUCUUGAAGGAUAAAUGUAUAGUCAGUGUGAAGAAGAAAGGCGGUGUUUUGGCCAUUGAAGGAAAUGAUGCACCAAGUAUAGUUGAGAAUAUCAGAAUUGUUGAGAAGCAACCUGUAAACACGCGACACUUACUGUUGGCGAAUAAGGAGUUUGACAAUGAAUCUGGAGGUUAUGAGAGUGAAGAUGAGGAAGGGGCAGAUCCAACAAAAGUUUCAGGAAAAAGAAACAUUGUUCUGAAGU